GCAGAAUCUCAGAGGUAUCACCCUCCCCUCUAAAGUUUGUUUUAAAAUAGUAUACAUAAACUGCCACUUACUGUACUUGAAGGGGGGGGAGCGGUUCUAAACCCGGAAAGAAUAGAAUUUGGAUGAAGGAGACUGUUUCUAAUUCUGAGCCGACCCGAGCAUUCCCGAGGCAUUAUAUUACUUUGUUUCUCGUUGCUCCUUUCCAUUCAUCCCAUUUCUCCCACCCCCAUCCUGACUCCAGCCGGCCGAGAGAUACAAAUCACGCGGAUAUAUAUAUAUGUAUAUUUAAAAUCACCUUACACUAAGGGCGAACGCGGAGGGAGGAAGUGGAAAGAAUACUAAAAGAAGACAAGUGAGAAAGGAGGCAGUGCGAAAGAUGAUCGAUCGUGAAGACUCACAUGGCUGCGUGAUGACCGGGUUUCCUCGCACUCAGGGGUUUCGGCGGCUCCUGAAGUCUUCUUUCUCCCCGCCGAGUUUGGACUGCAGCUCGUCCUUCGAGCAGCUCUCGCAGCGAAGCGAUCGAAAGCUGCAGCACCGGUCACUUUGCUACAGGGAACAAAACACGGGAGGGCUUGUAUUACUCCAAGGCACAAAGUGUUGAUCAUUCAUUCAACCAUACCAAACAUGAACCUCUUCUACAGGGAAUCUUCCAAAUAAUAAUGAAUUAACUUAAUUAAUUUUUUAAAACUAAAUUCAAUUGUUUGUAACUUCUGCCUUUAUGUUUACCUGGUUUCUUAUUAAUCUUGUCUGGGAGAUUAAAUGUGGAGAAUAUGUUGAGAACUGGUCCACCGAUGUGUUCAUACUAUACAAUAUGCAUACACUGAACUGAAAGAGUUGGACAGGGAGGCUUCAAGGACUCACAUAUCCAAGACAACUACUAACAUUUUGGCAUCACUGGGUAUUGAGCAGUGGCACCAGAAGGAAGCCAGGUAUUUUCCUUCAGCGUUGGUUUGUAAUAUGACUAUGUAUGUAAAGGGCCAAGGUCAAACAACUUCUGGAUAGCUCCAUGGUAUUGGUAUCUGGCUGUAGGGCCAGAGCUUGGGCAUUCCAAUUCCCCACUGUGUCUCACUGACAAGGGCUGGACUCAGUUAUCCAUAGGGUCCUGUCCAGCUCUGCAGUUCUAAGAUUAAUAUUAGAUUGUAACUACAGGAAACCCAAACUCCCAAACCAUCUUCUUGAAGGGAAAAAAAUUACCAGUAUAAAAGAUGGUGAUAGGAGAUACCCAAUUUUUCUGUCAGAAGCCAGUUCUUCCUUUCUAAAUCUCUUUCUUAUUCAACACAUAUGUUCUCCAGCAUAUAUUAUUUUUUUCACUGCAUAAAAAUCCAUUCAACGCUCUAAUCCAGGUACUUUCUUCCUAUCCAGAGAUUAUAAUUGCCAUGAUUCAGAUUACACUGAUAUCAUGCCAUACACAUUGCACCUGGAAGACUUACAUAAAUUUUGACUUUUGGUAACUUUUCUGAUACCACCUGCUUAAAAUUCCAAAUGUUGAAGAACUAUGUGCCUUCUUUUUCACCAUGUAUAUAAAGAUUAAAAAUAAAUGUCAAGUGAACUUUUGCCUUGAUUUUUUU
Molecule: long non-coding RNA, 1568 nt
Organism: Pogona vitticeps (central bearded dragon)
Lineage: Eukaryota; Metazoa; Chordata; Lepidosauria; Squamata; Agamidae
Source: Ensembl